This 497-nucleotide ribosomal RNA is filed under the name uncultured bacterium. RNAcentral describes it as "partial 16S ribosomal RNA". It matches the Rfam family "Bacterial small subunit ribosomal RNA", at positions 28 to 507 of the family's 1533-position model. The record is from RNAcentral.
GAUGAACGCUGGCGGCGUGCCUAAUACAUGCAAGUCGAGCGAACAGACGAGGAGCUUGCUCCUCUGACGUUAGCGGCGGACGGGUGAGUAACACGUGGAUAACCUACCUAUAAGACUGGGAUAACUUCGGGAAACCGGAGCUAAUACCGGAUAAUAUAUUGAACCGCAUGGUUCAAUAGUGAAAGACGGUUUUGCUGUCACUUAUAGAUGGAUCUGCGCCGCAUUAGCUAGUUGGUAAGGUAACGGCUUACCACGGCAACGAUGCGUAGCCGACCUGAGAGGGUGAUAGGCCACACGGGAACUGAGACACGGUCCAGACUCCUACGGGAGGCAGCAGUAGGGAAUCUUCCGCAAUGGGCGAAAGCCUGACGGAGCAACGCCACGUGAGUGAUGAAGGUCUUCGGAUCGUAAAACUCUGUUAUUAGGGAAGAACAAAUGUGUAAGUAACUAUGCACGUCUUGACGGUACCUAAUCAGAAAGCCACGGCUAACUACGUG